RNAcentral lists this transfer RNA (73 nucleotides) under Mammaliicoccus phage vB_MscM-PMS3. It matches the Rfam family "tRNA". From Rfam's summary of the family: Transfer RNA (tRNA) molecules are approximately 80 nucleotides in length. Their secondary structure includes four short double-helical elements and three loops (D, anti-codon, and T loops). Further hydrogen bonds mediate the characteristic L-shaped molecular structure. tRNAs have two regions of fundamental functional importance: the anti-codon, which is responsible for specific mRNA codon recognition, and the 3' end, to which the tRNAs corresponding amino acid is attached (by aminoacyl-tRNA synthetases). tRNAs cope with the degeneracy of the genetic code in two manners: having more than one tRNA (with a specific anti-codon) for a particular amino acid; and 'wobble' base-pairing, i.e. permitting non-standard base-pairing at the 3rd anti-codon position. RNAcentral also lists the same sequence under 1 other name. Lineage: Duplodnaviria; Heunggongvirae; Uroviricota; Caudoviricetes; Herelleviridae. The record is from Rfam by way of RNAcentral.
GCCUAUUUAGCUCAGUUGGAAGAGCACUUCACUUGUAAUGAAGGGGUCGUGAGUUCAAAUCUUACAAUAGGCA